GAGAAGAACGUAGCGAAAUGCGAUAAGUAAUGUGAAUUGCAGAAUUCAGUGAAUCAUCGAAUCUUUGAACGCACAUUGCGCCCGCCAGUAUUCUGGCGGGCAUGCCUGUUCGAGCGUCAUUUCAACCAUCAAGCCCCCGGCUUGUGUUGGGGACCUGCGGCUGCCGCAGGCCCUGAAAUGCAGUGGCGGGCUCGCUGUCACUCCGAGCGUAGUAGUUACAUCUCGCUCUGGGCGUGCUGCGGGUUCCGGCCGUUAAAAGCCUUAUUUACCCAAGGUUGACCUCGGAUCAGGUAGGAAGACCCGCUGAACUUAAGCAUAUCAAUAAGCGGAGGA
This 333-nucleotide unclassified non-coding RNA is filed under the name soil metagenome. Its description in RNAcentral is "partial contains 5.8S ribosomal RNA, internal transcribed spacer 2, and large subunit ribosomal RNA". The stretch from base 3 to 119 matches the Rfam family "5.8S ribosomal RNA", at positions 38 to 154 of the family's 154-position model. The record is from RNAcentral.